AUUUGGUGACACAUUGGUCACUGGGUCCCUUGGCAAGGGCAGCCUUCUCUCAGAAGGAGAGGAAGACCAGAACAGGCCCAGAAAAAGUGAGAAAGGGGAGGGGCAGUGAGGAGGUAGAGACAGUAAGUGUAGGUUUAACAAUUUGAAGAUGUUUGACUGCAAAGAAGAGAUCAGAGAUCGUAGCUGGAGAAGGAUGCAGGGUAUAGGGAAUCUUUUUCUUUUCUUUUAAGAUGAGAGAGCCAGAGUGGAAGGAGCCAAGAGAUCAAGAAGGAGAAGUUGAAGAUGCGGGGAGACAGAGUGAGUAGUCAAUGGAAUGAAGUCCCCAAGGAAGAUGGGAGGCUGGGAUCCAGAGCCAGGGAGGAGCUGGUGUGGAGUAGGAAGGAUCCCUCCAGCUUCCACAGGGACAGGAAGGCAUGUAGGUGGGAGGAGGCUGUGGGAAGGGAGGAGGCCGACAGCCCCUACUCACUGGGGACUGCUCUGGGAAGAGGCAAGGUGGGAGAAAAGACCACGCCUGGAGA
Molecule: long non-coding RNA, 518 nt
Filed under: Homo sapiens (human)
Lineage: Eukaryota; Metazoa; Chordata; Mammalia; Primates; Hominidae
Description: HSALNT0005516
Source: RNAcentral